GACGUGUUAGCGGGAGAGACCGUGCCACAAAGACUGUGUGACACGGCGCCGAAGGAGCAACUGCCCCGGAAACUCUCAGGCAAACGGACCGCUAACAUGCU
RNAcentral lists this non-coding RNA (101 nucleotides) under Marinobacter salinus. RNAcentral describes it as "Glycine sequence". It matches the Rfam family "Glycine riboswitch aptamer". From Rfam's summary of the family: This family represents the bacterial glycine riboswitch. Lineage: Bacteria; Pseudomonadati; Pseudomonadota; Gammaproteobacteria; Pseudomonadales; Marinobacteraceae. The record is from RNAcentral.